CCUACGGGUGGCAGCAGUCGAGAAUCAUUCACAAUGGGGGAAACCCUGAUGGUGCGACGCCGCGUGGGGGAAUGAAGGUCUUCGGAUUGUAAACCCCUGUCAUGUGGGAGCAAAUUAAAAGGAUAGUACCACAAGAGGAAGAGACGGCUAACUCUGUGCCAGCAGCCGCGGUAAUACAGAGGUCUCAAGCGUUGUUCGGAAGCACUGGGCGGAAAGCGUGCGUAGGCUGUUUCGUAAGUCGUGUGUGAAAGGCGCGGGCUCAACCCGCGGACUGCACAUGAUACUGGGAGACUAGAGUAAGGGAGGGGGAAGUGGAAUUCUCGGUGUAGGAGUGAAAUGCGUAGAUAUCGAGAGGAACACUCGUGGCGAAGGCGGGUUCCUGGACAUUAACUGACGCUGAGGCACGAAGGCGAGGGGAGCGAAAGGGAUUAGAUACCCCUGUAGUC
RNAcentral lists this ribosomal RNA (446 nucleotides) under uncultured bacterium. RNAcentral describes it as "partial 16S ribosomal RNA". It matches the Rfam family "Bacterial small subunit ribosomal RNA", at positions 338 to 795 of the family's 1533-position model. The record is from RNAcentral.